Molecule: ribosomal RNA, 609 nt
Filed under: uncultured bacterium
Lineage: Bacteria
Description: bacterial SSU rRNA
Rfam family: Bacterial small subunit ribosomal RNA (bases 1-524)
Source: RNAcentral
CCUACGGGAGGCAGCAGUGAGGAAUAUUCUGCAAUGGGCGAAAGCCUGACAGAGCAAUACCGCGUGAAGGAUGAAAGCCUAUUGGUUGUAAACUUCUUUUCUCAAAGACGAAGAUCUGACAUUAUUUGAGGAAUAAGCAUCGGCUAACCCUGUGCCAGCAGCCGCGGUAAUACAGGGGAUGCAAGUGUUAUCCGGAAUCAUUGGGCGUAAAGCGUUUGUAGGUGGAUAUUUAAGUCUUAUGUUAAAUCUCUAAGCUUAACUUAGAACAGGCAAAAGAUACUGAAUAUCUUGAGUAUGGUAGAGGUAAAGGGAAUUUUCAGUGGAGCGGUGAAAUGCGUAGAUAUUGAAAAGAACACCAAUAGCGAAGGCACUUUACUGGGCCAUCACUGACACUCAGAAACGAAAGCUGGGGGAGCAAACAGGAUUAGAUACCCUGGUAGUCCCAGCUAGUAAACGAUGGAUAUUAGAUGUUGUGUAUAUAAAUAAUAUGNAGUAUGUGUCGUACGUACGUUAAUACUACCGUCCGUACGGUAGUACGUCGUCGCGAGAGAGAACGACGAAAGAAGUAGUACGCGUAGAGAGUGACGACGACGACGACGAGGGAGGAGG